This 82-nucleotide transfer RNA is filed under the name Treponema sp. Its description in RNAcentral is "tRNA-Leu". It matches the Rfam family "tRNA". From Rfam's summary of the family: Transfer RNA (tRNA) molecules are approximately 80 nucleotides in length. Their secondary structure includes four short double-helical elements and three loops (D, anti-codon, and T loops). The record is from RNAcentral. Lineage: Bacteria; Pseudomonadati; Spirochaetota; Spirochaetia; Treponematales; Treponemataceae.
GCGAAAGUGGUGAAAUUGGCAGACACGCUAGAUUUAGGUUCUAGUACCACAAGGUAUAGGGGUUCAAGUCCCCUCUUUCGCA